GGCUCAGGAUGAACGCUAGCUACAGGCUUAACACAUGCAAGUCGAGGGGAAACGAUAGAGAAAGCUUGCUUUUUCUAGGCGUCGACCGGCGCACGGGUGAGUAACACGUAUCCAACCUGCCGUCUACUCUUGGACAGCCUUCUGAAAAGGAAGAUUAAUACAAGAUGGCAUCAUGAGUCCGCAUGGUGGAACUAUUAAAGAAUUUCGGUCAUCGAUGGGGAUGCGUUCCAUUAGCUGGUUGGCGGGGUAACGGCCCACCAAGGCAACGAUGGAUAGGGGUUCUGAGAGGAAGGUCCCCCACACUGGUACUGAGACACGGACCAGACUCCUACGGGAGGCAGCAGUGAGGAAUAUUGGUCAAUGGGCGAGAGCCUGAACCAGCCAAGUCGCGUGGAGGAAGACUGCCCUACGGGUUGUAAACUCCUUUUACCUGGGAAUAACGGGCGCUACGCGUAGCGCUGUGCAUGUACCGGGAGAAUAAGCAUCGGCUAAUUCCGUG
RNAcentral lists this ribosomal RNA (499 nucleotides) under uncultured bacterium. RNAcentral's name for it is "bacterial SSU rRNA". It matches the Rfam family "Bacterial small subunit ribosomal RNA", at positions 21 to 507 of the family's 1533-position model. The record is from RNAcentral.